GCUAGGUCGGGAGGUUAGUGGUCUCUUAUCAGCUCAAAUCCUCUAUAUGGAGCGACCGAAGUUUUUGGAGAGGCAUAUUAAAUACUUAUAAGCCUAUGUUUGUAGCGUAGAAGCUUCGUCCCUUGGGAUUAGCGGUGAUGGAAGUUUAACUGGAGGGUUAAACUAAACUAUCUUAAUCAAUUGAACGGGUCAGGUCUGGAAAGAAGCAGCUCUGUUUUGGACAACUGAUGUUCGAGGAUUCGCGGGGUGGAGCUAUGAAUAUAGAUAACUUAUAUUUAUGAGG
RNAcentral lists this signal recognition particle RNA (283 nucleotides) under Methanosphaera cuniculi. RNAcentral's name for it is "Archaeal signal recognition particle RNA". It matches the Rfam family "Archaeal signal recognition particle RNA", at positions 7 to 291 of the family's 317-position model. Lineage: Archaea; Methanobacteriati; Methanobacteriota; Methanobacteria; Methanobacteriales; Methanobacteriaceae. The record is from RNAcentral.